UACGAAGGGGGCUAGCGUUGCUCGGAAUGACUGGGCGUAAAGAGCGUGUAGGCGGCCAGGUAGGUCAGCUGUGAAAACUCGAGGCUCAACCUCGAGACGUCGGUUGAAACCACCUGGCUAGAGUCCGGAAGAGGAGAGUGGAAUUCCUGGUGUAGCGGUGAAAUGCGCAGAUAUCAGGAAGAACACCCGUGGCGAAGGCGGCUCUCUGGGACGGUACUGACGCUGAGACGCGAAAGCGUGGGGAGCGAACAGG
RNAcentral lists this ribosomal RNA (253 nucleotides) under uncultured bacterium. RNAcentral's name for it is "partial 16S ribosomal RNA". It matches the Rfam family "Bacterial small subunit ribosomal RNA", at positions 524 to 776 of the family's 1533-position model. The record is from RNAcentral.